GAGUUUGAUCCUGGCUCAGAGCGAACGUUAGCGGCGGGCCUAACACAUGCAAGUCGAGCGAGAAAGUGGCUUCGGCCAUCAGUAAAGCGGCGGACGGGUGAGUAACACGUAGGUAAUCUUCCCUUGAGCGGGGGACAACGAGCCGAAAGGCUCGCUAAUACCGCAUACGUUUCCAGAGACCCCGGUCUUUGGAAGGAAAGCUAGGUAGCAAUAUCCGGCACUCGAGGAGGAGCCUGCGUCGCAUCAGCUAGUUGGUGGGGUAACGGCCUACCAAGGCGAAGACGCGUAGCUGGUCUGAGAGGAUGAUCAGCCACACUGAAACUGAGACACGGUUCAGACUCCUACGGGAGGCAGCAGUGGGGAAUAUUGGACAAUGGGCGCAAGCCUGAUCCAGCCACGCCGCGUGAGUGAUGAAGGCCUUCGGUC
Molecule: ribosomal RNA, 426 nt
Filed under: uncultured delta proteobacterium
Lineage: Bacteria; Deltaproteobacteria
Description: bacterial SSU rRNA
Rfam family: Bacterial small subunit ribosomal RNA
Source: RNAcentral